GGCAUGCAAGUCGAACGAAUCCCCAGCAAUAGGGGGAAGUGGCGAAAGGGGCAGUAAGGCAUGGGUAACCUACCCCAGGGACUGGGAUAGCCUCCCUAACGGGAGGGUAAUACUGGGCGAUGUAGCGAGGUGGCAUCAUCUUGCUACGAAAUGAAUUUCGCCUUGGGAGGGGCCCAUGUGAUAUUAGCUAGUUGGUGAGGUAACGGCUCACCAAGGCCAAGAUGUCUAGCGGGUGUGAGAGCACGACCCGCGCCACUGGCACUGUGACACUGGCCAGACUCCUACGGGAGGCUGCAGUCGAGGAUCUUCGGCAAUGGGCGCAAGCCUGACCGAGCGACGCCGCGUGUGCGAUGAAGGCCUUCGGGUUGUAAAGCACUGUCGAGGGGGAUAAAGCCGAAAGGUUGAUAGAUCCCUGGAGGAAGCACGGGCUAAGUUCGUGCCAGCAGCCGCGGUAAGACGAACCGUGCGAACGUUGUUCGGAAUCACUGGGCUUAAAGGGCGCGUAGGCGGGAUGGACAGUCUAUGGUGAAAUCCUCCGGCUCAACCGGAGAACUGCCGUGGAUACUGCCAUUCUCGAGGGGUGUAGGGGCAUGGGGAACUCAGGGUGGAGCGGUGAAAUGCGUAGAUAUCCUGAGGAACGCCGGUGGCGAAAGCGCCGUGCUGGACACCUUCUGACGCUGAGGCGCGAAAGCCAGGGGAGCAAACGGGAUUAGAUACCCCGGUAGUCCUGGCCCUAAACGAUGGGUACUAGAUUGUGGACUGGACAUGGGUUCACAGUCGAAGCAAAAGUGUUAAGUACCCCGCCUGGGGAGUAUGGUCGCAAGGCUGAAACUCAAAGGAAUUGACGGGGGCUCACACAAGCGGUGGAGCAUGUGGCUUAAUUCGAGGCUACGCGAAGAACCUUAUCCUGGGCUUGACAUGUGCGAAAGCGGUUGGAAGUACCUUGCGGAACGUGGAGGGAACGGUAUCCAGUCCGGAACCAACUACAGUGCUGCAUGGCUGUCGUCAGCUCGUGUCGUGAGAUGUCGGGUUAAGUCCCAUACGAGCGAAACCCUUGUCUCCAGUUGCAGCGGGUAUGCCGGGACUCUGGAAGAGACUGCCGGUGUUCAAACCGGAGGAAAGGCGGGGGAUGGACGUCAAGUCCCUCCAUGGG
RNAcentral lists this ribosomal RNA (1153 nucleotides) under uncultured bacterium. RNAcentral's name for it is "bacterial SSU rRNA". It matches the Rfam family "Bacterial small subunit ribosomal RNA", at positions 52 to 1199 of the family's 1533-position model. The record is from RNAcentral.